RNAcentral lists this ribosomal RNA (398 nucleotides) under uncultured bacterium. Its description in RNAcentral is "bacterial SSU rRNA". It matches the Rfam family "Bacterial small subunit ribosomal RNA", at positions 358 to 773 of the family's 1533-position model. The record is from RNAcentral.
GGAAUCUUGCACAAUGGGCGCAAGCCUGAUGCAGCCAUGCCGCGUGAGUGAAGAAGGCCCUAGGGUUGUAAAACUCUUUCAGCGGGGAAGAUAAUGACGGUACCCGCAGAAGACGCACCGGCUAACCCCGUGCCAGCAGCCGCGGUAAGACGGAGGGGGCUAGCGUUGUUCGGAAUUACUGGGCGUAAAGCGCGCGUAGGCGGAUCGCCAAGUUGGGGGUGAAAUCCCGGGGCUCAACCCCGGAACUGCCUCCAAAACUGACGGUCUUGAGUCCGGAAGAGGUGAGUGGAAUUCCUAGUGUAGAGGUGAAAUUCGUAGAUAUUAGGAAGAACACCAGUGGCGAAGGCGGCUCACUGGUCCGGUACUGACGCUGAGGUGCGAAAGCGUGGGGAGCAAAC